This 464-nucleotide ribosomal RNA is filed under the name uncultured bacterium. Its description in RNAcentral is "partial 16S ribosomal RNA". It matches the Rfam family "Bacterial small subunit ribosomal RNA", at positions 339 to 795 of the family's 1533-position model. The record is from RNAcentral.
CUACGGGUCGCUGCAGUGGGGAAUAUUGGACAAUGGGGGAAACCCUGAUCCAGCAAUGCCGCGUGUGUGGAGAAGGCCUGCGGGUUGUAAAGCACUUUCGGUUGGGAGGACUGCUUCUAGCACUAAUAUUGUUGGAAGUUGACGUUACCUUCAGAAGAAGCACCGGCUAACUCCGUGCCAGCAGCCGGGUAAUACGGAGGGUGCAAGCGUUAAUCGGAAUUACUGGGCGUAAAGCGCGCGUAGGCGGCUAGAUCAGUCGGGUGUGAAAGCCCCGGGCUUAACCUGGGAACUGCAUCCGAUACUGUCUAGCUUGAGUACAGGAGAGGAGAGUGGAAUUCCACAUGUAGCGGUGAAAUGCGUAGAUAUGUGGAGGAACACCAAUGGCGAAGGCAGCUCUCUGGCCUGAUACUGACGCUGAGGUGCGAAAGCGUGGGGAGCAAACAGGAUUAGAUACCCGAGUAGUC